Molecule: long non-coding RNA, 1036 nt
Organism: Numida meleagris (helmeted guineafowl)
Lineage: Eukaryota; Metazoa; Chordata; Aves; Galliformes; Numididae
Exons: 3
Source: RefSeq, a predicted model, not a curated record
GACCCAGCACUUGGUCUUGUUGAACUUCAUCCCGUCAUCCUCAGCCCAGUGAUCCAGCCUGUCCAGAUGAGCACUUUUCCCCAGUUUGAUGUAACCUGCAAACUUACUGAGGGUUCACUCAAUUCCCUCAACCAGAAUUCUGACCCCAAAUUACUUCUCUGAGGUCACAGUGAGGUGUCUCAGUGCAGGUCUCCUGGCUGCGAAGUGUCUGCUCAGGCUGUGCAGCUCCAUGAAGGUGGAUGUUAUUUGCAGGGUGGGUGUUGUCAGUGAUCCUUGUAGAGAUGAAGGGGUGAGGGCUGUGCACUGUGCAGCCAAUGGUCCUAUAUGGAAUGAGUCUGCUGCAGUGGGAAAGGCCAUGUCCUUUUGUUUGCAAAGCAUCUGGGUUCAGUUCCUGACUGAUAGGAGUUUGGAAGCUGCUAGAAGUGUCUCCACUGCUUUUGGCUCAGAUGCUGCCCUUACACCAACUGGGAAGUAAUCUUUAAAUACAAGAACCCAGUGCACUAUGUAGAGGCACAGUGUAAUAACAGAUGAUCACUGGAGUGGAGAAUGGAGAAAAAUAGGGAUUGAAGCUGCCCAGGUUUCCUGUACCUAUUGCUCUGGAGACCUGGAGGAUGAGGAUGCCCCUGUAUCAGCCUGGGCUGUAGCACUCAGUUAAGAAGAACAAACAAAAGCACGCAGCAACAACAAAAUACUAGGUAUCCUGUCUUCAUCCUCUCCAUUACUGAACGAUUCAGGCACAAAAUAUGCUACUGAAACAUCUGAAAAAUGUUAUGGUAAUCCACAUGUAACUCAGAAAUGUUUGGAAUUAUAUUACACAAACUUUUAUGUAUAUUUAUAAAAAAAAAAAAAAAAAAAAGAUCAGAAAAAGCCAGUAAAGUUUCAGUUCAGAAGAAGUAUUUUGUAAAGUUAUAAGAAUAUCAGCACAGACUUGGAAAAAUAUUUUAGAAUCAAAGAUGGAAUUCUUCUUUGAUUAUAUCGUGUAAUACCCAUUUCUGUGGUAGCACAUGCUUAUUAAAUAUGAAAUCAUAUUGCAGUU